This 452-nucleotide ribosomal RNA is filed under the name uncultured bacterium. RNAcentral describes it as "bacterial SSU rRNA". It matches the Rfam family "Bacterial small subunit ribosomal RNA", at positions 29 to 524 of the family's 1533-position model. The record is from RNAcentral.
AACGAACGCUGGCGGCAUGCCUAACACAUGCAAGUCGAACGAAGUCUUCGGACUUAGUGGCGCACGGGUGCGUAACGCGUGGGAAUCUGCCCUUGGGUGCGGAAUAACUUCUCGAAAGGGAUGCUAAUACCGCAUAAUGUCGUAAGACCAAAGAUUUAUCGCCCAAGGAUGAGCCCGCGUAAGAUUAGCUAGUUGGUGGGGUAAAAGCCUACCAAGGCGACGAUCUUUAGCUGGUCUGAGAGGAUGAUCAGCCACACUGGGACUGAGACACGGCCCAGACUCCUACGGGAGGCAGCAGUGGGGAAUAUUGGGACAAUGGGCGAAAGCCUGAUCCAGCAAUGCCGCGUGAGUGAUGAAGGCCCCUAGGGUUGUAAAGCUCUUUUACCAGGGAUGAUAAUGACAGUACCUGGAGAAUAAGCUCCGGCUAACUCCGUGCCAGCAGCCGCGGUAAU